GCGGUUGUGGCGGAAUUGGUAUACGCGUAACGUUGAGGUCGUUAUGGGGUAAAACCUGUGGAAGUUCAAGUCUUCUCAACCGCACCA
RNAcentral lists this transfer RNA (87 nucleotides) under Alphaproteobacteria bacterium. RNAcentral's name for it is "tRNA-Leu". It matches the Rfam family "tRNA". From Rfam's summary of the family: Transfer RNA (tRNA) molecules are approximately 80 nucleotides in length. Lineage: Bacteria; Pseudomonadati; Pseudomonadota; Alphaproteobacteria. The record is from RNAcentral.